GAUGAAGAACGCAGCGAAAUGCGAUAAGUAGUGUGAAUUGCAGAAUUCAGUGAAUCAUCGAAUCUUUGAACGCACAUUGCGCCCUUUGGUAUUCCUUAGGGCAUGCCUGUUCGAGCGUCUUUUAAACCUUCAAGCUAAGCUUGGUGUUGGGUGACUGUCCGCUUCACGGCGGACUCGCCUCAAAAUUAUUGGCGGCCGGUACAUUGGCUUCGAGCGCAGCAGAAACGCGAACUCGGGCCCGUCGUAUUGGCUCCCAGAAGCUAUCUUCACAAUUUUGACCUCGGAUCAGGUAGGGAUACCCGCUGAACUUAAGCAUAUCAAUAAGCGGAGGA
This 332-nucleotide unclassified non-coding RNA is filed under the name soil metagenome. RNAcentral's name for it is "partial contains 5.8S ribosomal RNA, internal transcribed spacer 2, and large subunit ribosomal RNA". The stretch from base 1 to 120 matches the Rfam family "5.8S ribosomal RNA", at positions 35 to 154 of the family's 154-position model. The record is from RNAcentral.